GNNNGAUCCUGGCUCAGGACGAACGCUGGCGGCGUGCCUAAUACAUGCAAGUCGAGCGGACCUUAAAAGCUUGCUUUUGAAAGGUCAGCGGCGGACGGGUGAGUAACACGUGGGCAACCUGCCUGUAAGACUGGGAUAACUUCGGGAAACCGGAGCUAAUACCGGAUAAUAUAAGGAACCUCCUGGUUCUUUAUUGAAAGAUGGUUUCGGCUAUCACUUCAGAUGGGCCCGCGGCGCAUUAGCUAGUUGGUGAGGUAACGCCUCACCAAGGCRACGAUGCGUAGCCGACCUGAGAGGGUGAUCGGCCACACUGGGACUGAGACACGGCCCAGACUCCUACGGGAGGCAGCAGUAGGGAAUCUUCCACAAUGGACGAAAGUCUGAUGGAGCAACGCCGCGUGAGCGAUGAAGGCCUUCGGGUCGUAAAGCUCUGUUGUUAGGGAAGAACAAGUGCGAGAGUAACUGCUCGCACCUUGACGGUACCUAACCAGAAAGCCACGGCUAACUAC
Molecule: ribosomal RNA, 509 nt
Filed under: uncultured marine bacterium
Lineage: Bacteria
Description: bacterial SSU rRNA
Rfam family: Bacterial small subunit ribosomal RNA
Source: RNAcentral